Molecule: ribosomal RNA, 250 nt
Filed under: uncultured prokaryote
Description: partial 16S ribosomal RNA
Rfam family: Bacterial small subunit ribosomal RNA
Source: RNAcentral
UACGUAUGGUGCAAGCGUUAUCCGGAUUUACUGGGUGUAAAGGGAGCGUAGGUGGUUUGGCAAGCCAGAAGUGAAAACCCGGGGCUUAACCCCGCGGAUUGCUUUUGGAACUGUCGGACUAGAGUGCAGGAGGGGCAAGUGGAAUUCCCAGUGUAGCGGUGAAAUGCUUAGAUAUUGGGAGGAACACCGGAGGCGAAGGCGGCUUGCUGGACUGUAACUGACACUGAGGCUCGAAAGCGUGGGGAGCAAA